UAUAUUUUGGUGUAUGAUGCACAAAGAAUUUUGAUUUCUUAGGCUUUAGUUUAAUUCUAAGUUGUAUAA
This 69-nucleotide transfer RNA is filed under the name Sclomina parva. RNAcentral's name for it is "tRNA-Gln". The record is from RNAcentral. Lineage: Eukaryota; Metazoa; Arthropoda; Insecta; Hemiptera; Reduviidae.